UACGUAGGGUGCGAGCGUUAAUCGGAAUUACUGGGCGUAAAGCGUGCGCAGGCGGUGAUGUAAGACCGAUGUGAAAUCCCCGGGCUUAACCUGGGAACUGCAUUGGUGACUGCAUUGCUGGAGUAUGGCAGAGGGGGGUGGAAUUCCACGUGUAGCAGUGAAGUGCGUAGAGAUGUGGAGGAACACCGAUGGCGAAGGCAGCCCCCUGGGCCAAUACUGACGCUCAUGCACGAAAGCGUGGGGAGCAAACAGG
RNAcentral lists this ribosomal RNA (253 nucleotides) under uncultured bacterium. RNAcentral describes it as "partial 16S ribosomal RNA". It matches the Rfam family "Bacterial small subunit ribosomal RNA", at positions 524 to 776 of the family's 1533-position model. The record is from RNAcentral.